RNAcentral lists this long non-coding RNA (1596 nucleotides) under Diabrotica virgifera virgifera (western corn rootworm). RNAcentral's name for it is "uncharacterized LOC126892128". The record is from RNAcentral. Lineage: Eukaryota; Metazoa; Arthropoda; Insecta; Coleoptera; Chrysomelidae.
UUCUAACAUCUAUAUUUGGAGUUCUUUGGGGUUUUCUAAUACGUUUAAGCUUAAACGUGACAUUAGCGAUUACCCUAACAACACACAACAUUCCAGGAAUGGACUACCAAAGUUCUAUCAAUAUUUGAAUGUCCUGGACAUUUAGGGAACAUUCGGUGAACAUCUGAUUAAAUUAUUCGUGGAAUGUUACCAUAAGACAUUCUGUGAACAUACUACCAAUGUUCCUAUAUGUUCAUUUUCAAAUUCACGGCGCAUGUAUUUGUGCAUGGUGCUUAGAGAGGGCAUCACGUGACUAAAAACGACCAAUGACCUCACUUCAGACUUCGGUGCUUCGGCCAUCUUGACAUGCAUCUUGGCCUUGGCCACCUUGCCGUGCGUGAUCGUUGUUUGUUUUUAUUUGUGCUUUUUAAGAAUAUUUUUUAAUUCGGAUACUUUUAUAAUAACUUUAAUAGUAUUAUUAAUAUAGUGCAUAAAAUCAGUUGGAGUAGCAGAAGCAAUGUAGAUAAAAAAUCUGCAGGAAUAAUGUUUCAAAGCUUUCCAGAAGAUCCUGCAAAGAAGGCAUGAAGUAUUGAUCAGAUUUGUUAAUAGAGCAGUAUGUUCAAAACAUUUUUUAGAAAAAGAUAUUGACAGAACUUCACUUUCAACCGUUUGAGAGACUGUGCUGUUCCAAUAGCUUAUAUCACACAGAAUCAGCUGAGAGAAGUGGUCUACAAAAAACCAGGAAGGAAAUGGAAUAUGUGGCUAUGAAAGGCAAAAGAAAGGUUUACAAAGCAAAUGUGACACAUUUUUUUAUAGGAAUAUCAGUAAAUUACAUUAAAAAAAUGUAUGAAAAGAUUUUUUGCAAUAAAAAUGUUUAUAUUUAUCAAGGAUGCAUUAUUUGGUAUGGCCACAUAUCGUCAGUGAUGUGACAAUACCUCCUAUCUGUUUUUUCAUGAGAUUUGUAAGAUAGACUAAAAACUUGUUUGGGCCACCUCCUGUUUUCAUAUAUUUUUUGACUUGUUUUGCAGUAAAUUUAACUAUCUAUUUACUACAAAACAAGCCAGAACUUACGUAUGCAAACAGGAGGUGACCUUAAAAAAUGUUUUUCGUCUCCUGCAAACCUCAUGAAAAAAGAUAUAGGAGGUAUUGUCACAGCACUGACGAUAUAUUUCAGAGAAUGUCUAAAAAAUAUACUGUGAAUGUUCAAAGAACGUUCGUAGACAUUCAUGGAAUGUUCCAACAAGACAUUUAGUCUAAAAAAUAUACUGUGAAUGUCCAAAGAACAUUCAUGGAAUGUUCCAACAUUCAUGGAAUGUCCCAACAAGACAUUCAGUCUAAAAAAUAUACUGUGAAUGUCCAAAGAACAUUCAUGGAAUGUUCCAACAAGACAUUCAGUCUAAAACAUAUACUGUGAAUGUCCAAAGAACAUUCGUAGACAUUCAUGGAAUGUUCCAACAGAACAUUCUAAGAAUAUUUAAAAUGCUGACACAGCACAUUCCAGGGACUUUCCAGGGACAUUCGUGUGCAUUUGGGGACAUUCCAGGAAUGUUUGGAAUGUCCUGUGAGUACAUUCUAGGAACAUUCAUGGAAUGUUUUGUGUUAUUAGGGUAGUGUCUA